Molecule: ribosomal RNA, 301 nt
Filed under: uncultured bacterium
Lineage: Bacteria
Description: partial 16S ribosomal RNA
Rfam family: Bacterial small subunit ribosomal RNA
Source: RNAcentral
CAGCCGCCGCGGGAAUACGUAGGUCCCGAGCGUUGUCCGGAUUUAUUGGGCGUAAAGGGAGCGCAGGCGGUUUAGUAAGUCUGAAGUUAAAGGCAUUGGCUCAACCAAUGUAUGCUUUGGAAACUGUUAGACUUGAGUGCAGAAGGGGAGAGUGGAAUUCCAUGUGUAGCGGUGAAAUGCGUAGAUAUAUGGAGGAACACCGGUGGCGAAAGCGGCUCUCUGGUCUGUCACUGACGCUGAGGCACGAAAGCUAGGGGAGCAAACAGGAUUAGAUACCCCCGUAGUCCCUGUCUCUUAUACA